AGCAGCCGCGGUAAUUCCAGCUCCAAUAGCGUAUAUUAAAGUUGUUGCAGUUAAAAAGCUCGUAGUUGAAUUUCGGAGUUUGUCGGUUGGUCGGGCUUCACUGUCCGCACUGGCCUGAUGGAUUCCUACCUUCUGAAUAACCAGCAUGCUAUUAAUUUAGUGCGUUGGGGAAGCAGAGCUAUUACCUUGAAAAAUUAGAGUGCUUAAAGCAGGCUUACGCUUGAAUAGAUUAGCAUGGAAUAAUAAAAUAGGACGGCUUGGUUCUAUUUUGUUGGUUUCUAGGAUCACCGUAAUGAUUAAUAGGGAUAGUUGGGGGCAUUAGUAUUCAAUUGUCAAAGGUGAAAUUCUUGGAUUUAUUGAAGACUAACUUCUGCGGAAGCAUUUGCCAAGGAUGUUUUCAUUAAUCAAGAACGAAAGUUAGGGGAUCGAAGACGAUCAGAUACCGUCGUAGUCUUAACCAUAAACUAUGCCGACUAGGGAUCGGACGAUGUUAAUUUUUAAUGACUCGUUCGGCGCCUUA
RNAcentral lists this ribosomal RNA (520 nucleotides) under uncultured Acaulospora. Its description in RNAcentral is "SSU rRNA". It matches the Rfam family "Eukaryotic small subunit ribosomal RNA", at positions 569 to 1090 of the family's 1831-position model. The record is from RNAcentral. Lineage: Eukaryota; Fungi; Glomeromycota; Glomeromycetes; Diversisporales; Acaulosporaceae.